GACGAACGCUGGCGGCGUGCUUAACACAUGCAAGUCGAACGGAAAGGCCCUGCUUUUGUGGGGUGCUCGAGUGGCGAACGGGUGAGUAACACGUGAGUAACCUGCCCUUGACUUUGGGAUAACUUCAGGAAACUGGGGCUAAUACCGGAUAGGAGCUCCUGCUGCAUGGUGGGGGUUGGAAAGUUUCGGCGGUUGGGGAUGGACUCGCGGCUUAUCAGCUUGUUGGUGGGGUAGUGGCUUACCAAGGCUUUGACGGGUAGCCGGCCUGAGAGGGUGACCGGCCACAUUGGGACUGAGAUACGGACCAGAAUCCUACGGGAGGCAGCAGUGGGGAAUAUUGCAGAAUGGGCGGAAGCCUGAUGCAGCAACGCCGCGUGCGGGAUGACGGCCUUCGGGUUGUAAACCGCUUUCGCCUGUGACGAAGCGUGAGUGACGGUAAUGGGUAAAGAAGCACCGGCUAACUACGUG
RNAcentral lists this ribosomal RNA (468 nucleotides) under uncultured bacterium. RNAcentral's name for it is "partial 16S ribosomal RNA". It matches the Rfam family "Bacterial small subunit ribosomal RNA", at positions 28 to 507 of the family's 1533-position model. The record is from RNAcentral.